RNAcentral lists this ribosomal RNA (424 nucleotides) under uncultured prokaryote. Its description in RNAcentral is "bacterial SSU rRNA". It matches the Rfam family "Bacterial small subunit ribosomal RNA", at positions 355 to 796 of the family's 1533-position model. The record is from RNAcentral.
UGGGGAAUAUUGGACAAUGGGGGCAAGCCUGAUCCAGCCAUGCCGCGUGGGUGAAGAAGGCCUUAGGGUUGUAAACCCCUUUCACCGGUGACGAUGAUGACGGUAGCCGGAGAAGAAGCCCCGGCUAACUCUGUGCCAGCAGCCGCGGUAAAACAGAGGGGGCAAGCGUUGUCCGGACUUACUGGGCGUAAAGCGCACGCAGGGCGUAACGCAAGUGGGGUGCGAAAGCCGCCAGCUCAACUGGCGGAGGCCAUCCCAAACUGCGUCACUUGAGGCCUGUAGAGGUAUGUGGAAUUGCCGGUGUAGUGGUGAAAUGCGUAGAGAUCGGCAGGAACACCCAGGGGGAAACCAGCAUACUGGACAGGUCCUGACACUCAGGUGCGACAGCGUGGGGAGCGAACCGGAUUAGAUACCCCUGUAGUCC